GACGUAGGGUGCAAGCGUUGUCCGGAUUUAUUGGGCGUAAAGAGCUCGUAGGCGGUUCGUUGCGUCAGCUGUGAAAACCCACGGCUUAACCGUGGGCCUGCAGCUGAUACGGGCGGACUAGAGUUCGGUAGGGGAGACUGGAAUUCCUGGUGUAGCGGUGAAAUGCGCAGAUAUCAGGAGGAACACCGGUGGCGAAGGCGGGUCUCUGGGCCGAUACUGACGCUGAGGAGCGAAAGCGUGGGGAGCGAACAGG
Molecule: ribosomal RNA, 253 nt
Filed under: uncultured bacterium
Lineage: Bacteria
Description: partial 16S ribosomal RNA
Rfam family: Bacterial small subunit ribosomal RNA
Source: RNAcentral